This 440-nucleotide ribosomal RNA is filed under the name uncultured bacterium. RNAcentral's name for it is "partial 16S ribosomal RNA". It matches the Rfam family "Bacterial small subunit ribosomal RNA", at positions 338 to 795 of the family's 1533-position model. The record is from RNAcentral.
CCUACGGGAGGCAGCAGUAGGGAAUAUUGCUCAAUGGGGGAAACUCUGAAGCAGCAACGCCGCGUGGAGGAUGAAGGUUUUCGGAUCGUAAACCCCUUUUGUUAGAGAAGAUAAUGACGGUAUCUAACUAACAAGCACCGGCUAACUCCGUGCUAGCAGCUGCGGUAAUACGGAGGGGGCAAGCGUUACUCGGAAUCACUGGGCGUAAAGAGGGCGUAGGCGGGAUAGCAAGUCAGAUGUGAAAGCCUAUGGCUUAACCAUAGAACUGCAUUUGAAACUGUUGUUCUUGAGUAUGGGAGAGGUGAGUGGAAUUCUUGGUGUAGGGGUGGAAUCCGUAGAGAUCAGGAGGAAUACUCGUUGCGAAGGCGACCUGCUAGUACGUAACUGACGCUGAGGCGCGAAAGCAUGGGGAGCGAACAGGAUUAGAUACCCUUGUAGUC